GGGCCCGUAGUAUACCGGUAACACGCUACAAUGGCAUUGUAGAGUAGGGGGUUCAAUUCCCCCCGGGUCCA
Molecule: transfer RNA, 71 nt
Filed under: Candidatus Gottesmanbacteria bacterium RBG_16_37_8
Lineage: Bacteria; Candidatus Gottesmaniibacteriota
Description: tRNA-Ala
Rfam family: tRNA
About the family: Transfer RNA (tRNA) molecules are approximately 80 nucleotides in length. Their secondary structure includes four short double-helical elements and three loops (D, anti-codon, and T loops). Further hydrogen bonds mediate the characteristic L-shaped molecular structure. tRNAs have two regions of fundamental functional importance: the anti-codon, which is responsible for specific mRNA codon recognition, and the 3' end, to which the tRNAs corresponding amino acid is attached (by aminoacyl-tRNA synthetases). tRNAs cope with the degeneracy of the genetic code in two manners: having more than one tRNA (with a specific anti-codon) for a particular amino acid; and 'wobble' base-pairing, i.e. permitting non-standard base-pairing at the 3rd anti-codon position.
Source: RNAcentral